UACGUAGGGGCAAGCGUUAUCCGGAUUUACUGGGUGUAAAGGGAGCGCAGACGGCAGUGCAAGUCUGAUGUGAAAGCCCGGGGCUCAACCCCGGAACUACAUUGGAAACUGUACAGCUUGAGUGUCGGAGGGGUAAGCGGAAUUCCUAGUGUAGCGGUGAAAUGCGUAGAUAUUAGGAGGAACACCGGUGGCGAAGGCGGCUUACUGGACGAUCACUGACGUUGAGGCUCGAAAGCGUGGGGAGCAAACAGGAUUAGAUACCCGCGUAGUCCCUGAG
This 277-nucleotide ribosomal RNA is filed under the name uncultured prokaryote. RNAcentral describes it as "partial 16S ribosomal RNA". It matches the Rfam family "Bacterial small subunit ribosomal RNA", at positions 524 to 801 of the family's 1533-position model. The record is from RNAcentral.